RNAcentral lists this ribosomal RNA (465 nucleotides) under Vaughanella sp. SLR-1995. RNAcentral's name for it is "partial 16S ribosomal RNA". It matches the Rfam family "Bacterial large subunit ribosomal RNA", at positions 1888 to 2473 of the family's 2925-position model. The record is from RNAcentral. Lineage: Eukaryota; Metazoa; Cnidaria; Anthozoa; Scleractinia; Caryophylliidae.
GUCUCCAAAAGGGUUUGUAAGGCGCACUAAUAAGGACAAUUGAAUGGCCGCGGUAACCUUGACUGUGAAAAUGUAGCAUAAUCAAUAGUCAAUUAAUUGUUGACCGGUAUGAAUGGUAUCACGAGGGUUUCACUGUUUUAAAAAAUCUCCAAUGAAAUUGAGAUUGGGGUGAAGACGCCCCAUCCAAAUUGUAAGACGAGAAGUCCCCAUGGAACUUUACUGGAGGCUUAUAGUACGGAUAUUAAAAUAGAGGCUGAAGGGUCUUUUUUGUUUUUAUAGAAGGGUUCAAGGUAAGAGGGACAGUUUCAUUGGGGCGAUGGCUUUUUAAAAAGUAACAAAAGUGAGCUAGAAAUAUAAGUUUGAUUGUGAGGGAGAGGGCCCGAGCAGACACUCUAGGUGGGCGGAAUUGACCCGUUAUUUUUGAAUGAAAAAGUUAACGAUAAACAAAUAAAAGUUACCCUGGGU